GUGGGCUUACUCUGGCAACACAUAUUCUAAAAUUAGAACCAUACAAGGAAGAUUAGCAUGGCACCAGAGCAAGAACGACAUGCAAAUUCACGAAGCAUUCCAUAUUUUU
Molecule: small nuclear RNA, 109 nt
Organism: Myodes glareolus (Bank vole)
Lineage: Eukaryota; Metazoa; Chordata; Mammalia; Rodentia; Cricetidae
Source: RefSeq, a predicted model, not a curated record